This 148-nucleotide unclassified non-coding RNA is filed under the name uncultured Fusarium. RNAcentral's name for it is "sequence contains ITS1". Lineage: Eukaryota; Fungi; Ascomycota; Sordariomycetes; Hypocreales; Nectriaceae. The record is from RNAcentral.
CCGAGUUUACAACUCCCAAACCCCUGUGAACAUACCUAUACGUUGCCUCGGCGGAUCAGCCCGCGCCCUGUAAAACGGGACGGCCCGCCCGAGGACCCUAAACUCUGUUUUUAGUGGAACUUCUGAGUAAAACAAACAAAUAAAUACA